AAACCGUUCGGGGGAAAACGGACAGAGCCCGUGAAUUCGGGCGAGUGAAUUCAUGGUGGAUGGCGGGCUCUCGAGUUCGUCGUCUGUCUGAUAUUUCGCUCGCCGCGAACGUUGCGACCCGUUCGAUGUUAAGCGAAGGGCGAUUGGUUAAAGUUUUGACGUGUGCUUGAGGUUCGCCGCAUGCACGUGUUGAAGACCGUUCGCAUAUCCCGUUUAACUAGUUGGACGGUAAGCUAAAUGGUAGGCGUUUGUAGGCGCUUGCGCGUGCAAACGUUGCCGGUCAGUGACGAAUCAUCGGGCCUCUUUCCGA
Molecule: ribosomal RNA, 310 nt
Filed under: Puto barberi
Lineage: Eukaryota; Metazoa; Arthropoda; Insecta; Hemiptera; Pseudococcidae
Description: partial 28S large subunit ribosomal RNA
Source: RNAcentral